Molecule: ribosomal RNA, 497 nt
Filed under: uncultured bacterium
Lineage: Bacteria
Description: partial 16S ribosomal RNA
Rfam family: Bacterial small subunit ribosomal RNA
Source: RNAcentral
GACGAACGCUGGCGGCGUGCCUAAUACAUGCAAGUUGAGCGCUGAAGGUUGGUACUUGUACCGACUGGAUGAGCAGCGAACGGGUGAGUAACGCGUGGGGAAUCUGCCUUUGAGCGGGGGACAACAUUUGGAAACGAAUGCUAAUACCGCAUAAAAACUUUAAACUCAAGUUUUAAGUUUGAAAGAUGCAAUUGCAUCACUCAAAGAUGAUCCCGCGUUGUAUUAGCUAGUUGGUGAGGUAAAGGCUCACCAAGGCGAUGAUACAUAGCCGACCUGAGAGGGUGAUCGGCCACAUUGGGACUGAGACACGGCCCAAACUCCUACGGGAGGCAGCAGUAGGGAAUCUUCGGCAAUGGACGAAAGUCUGACCGAGCAACGCCGCGUGAGUGAAGAAGGUUUUCGGAUCGUAAAACUCUGUUGGUAGAGAAGAACGUUGGUGAGAGUGGAAAGCUCAUCAAGUGACGGUAACUACCCAGAAAGGGACGGCUAACUACGUG